AUAUAGAUUAAGUUAUUAAGGGCGCACGGUGGAUGCCUUGGCACUAGAAGCCGAUGAAGGACGUUACUAACGACGAUAUGCUUUGGGGAGCUGUAAGUAAGCUUUGAUCCAGAGAUUUCCGAAUGGGGAAACCCAGCACGAGUUAUGUCGUGUUAUCUGCAUGUGAAUACAUAGCAUGCAAG
RNAcentral lists this ribosomal RNA (182 nucleotides) under Staphylococcus pseudintermedius. RNAcentral describes it as "partial 23S ribosomal RNA". It matches the Rfam family "Bacterial large subunit ribosomal RNA", at positions 1 to 176 of the family's 2925-position model. The record is from RNAcentral. Lineage: Bacteria; Bacillati; Bacillota; Bacilli; Caryophanales; Staphylococcaceae.